RNAcentral lists this ribosomal RNA (253 nucleotides) under uncultured bacterium. Its description in RNAcentral is "partial 16S ribosomal RNA". It matches the Rfam family "Bacterial small subunit ribosomal RNA", at positions 524 to 776 of the family's 1533-position model. The record is from RNAcentral.
UACGGGGGGGGCAAGCGUUGUUCGGAUUCACUGGGCGUAAAGGGUGCGUAGGUGGUGAGGUAAGUCGGAUGUGAAAUCUCCGAGCUCAACUCGGAAAUGGCAUUGGAAACUACCUUGCUCGAGGGUUGGAGGGGGGACUGGAAUGCUUGGUGUAGCAGUGAAAUGCGUAGAUAUCAAGCGGAACACCAGUGGCGAAGGCGAGUCCCUGGACAACUCCUGACACUGAGGCACGAAAGCUAGGGGAGCAAACAGG